Cuculus canorus (common cuckoo) is the source of this 2934-nucleotide long non-coding RNA. RefSeq lists it as uncharacterized. The transcript is spliced from 3 exons. NCBI's taxonomy places the organism in Eukaryota, Metazoa, Chordata, Aves, Cuculiformes, Cuculidae. The record is from RefSeq and is a predicted model, not a curated record.
AGGUCAACACUUGAGGGACAGAGGUCAUAAAUGCUGCAAUUGUCCAUUGUUUUUGUGGGAGUUUAUUGCAGCUUUGGGCUGGCACAGCCAAGGAACUUGCCUUCAAAAUAGGCUCAAGGUAUGUGGAUAUAGGUAAUGCUGAUUCCCUUCGGUUCUCGCUUAAAAUGACAGGAUCUGGUCCUUGUGGUCUAGCUUUAUUUGGAAGGAUGAUCACUUUAGCAAGUCCUAUUUCAUUUGCUAUGAUUUACCUCAGAACAAUGAAUAUAAUUUCAGUUCUUUUGCUCUUUGUUCUCACAAAACACCUAUGGCCUUGUAACAAAUCUCACAUAAAAUUAAAUUUUAUUUUAUUAUUCUCUUCCACAAGGUUGUGCGAAAAUUCCAGGAGCCCUCUAGACAAGAGCUAUUUGCUUUACAGAUUUCUCCUGGCCAAACAAGGCAAUUAAUGACUGCUUUCACAAGGUUGGGGAAUCCACAGCUACAGUUAAGAGGGGUAAAAAAAAAAAUGUGAUAAAUAAACAACUCCGUCCACAAUCUCUUCCUCAGGAAACCAGCAUGGGAAGCGCAGGCAUUUAGAAUGACAAUUCAGCAUGUUCUGCCAAAGAGAGACUUUCCAAAACAGCUGUAGAAAUGGCUACAAUUUCCUUGAAUGUCCAUUUUAAUAACAUUAUAGCCUCUACUGUUUAUGCAUUAAUCUAACUGUUUUCAUGUUGUCAGCUAUACCUUUUGCAGUUGUAUAAUCUUUAAAUCCAUGUAAGUAACCCUCAAGAAGGAGUGUCAGACUUCAACAAACACUGCCAUCUAUGAACCCAGCUACCUUUCAGCCGCCAUUCAUUCAGGCUAAAUAGCCCAAGCCUCUCAACCUUUCCUCGUAAGAGAGAUGCUCCAGUCCCCUAAUCACCUUUGAGGCCCUCCACUGGACUAUCUCCAGUACUUCCUUGUCUUUCUCGAGCUGGUGAGUCCAGAACUGGACUCAGUAUUCCAGAUGGAGCCUCGCUAGGACAGAAUGUAUGAAAUUUGGAAGUGGGAUAGCUUACUCACCAUAGAUGAUUCAUAUCUUCACCUAGUUUGGAGUGGUUCACCACACUGUGGUCACAGCUCCAGAAGUGUCAGAUGAUCAUCAGACAUUAAUCUUACCUGUAAGACUGAUUGAUUUUUUUCCAGCUUUCUAGAGGUUUUAUAACUUUCUAACCUCUCCUUCCAACUCCAAACAAUUUAGGUUCUAUACAAAGCAUUAGGAAACUGUUCAGAAAAUAAUUAACAUACUGUAUUCCAUAACAGACAAAGCUCCUAAAGCCAGAGCUCUGGGGACUCAAGUGCAGAGAUACUGCCCUUCUCAGGGACUCUGAAAGCACUUUUCCAUGUUCCCUUUCAAAAGUUUUAUCUUUUCCAGUUUUAAAUCUUUUUGUCUAGACAGCAGUAAGUAACUGGCAUACCUUUCAGUCAAGAAUGGUAUAGUUAAGUCUUUCAGAUAUAUAUAGCUGGAUGUUUAAAUACAAAAAUAAAUUCCUAAAGCUCUACUUAUUAGUAGCAUCUGUCUCGUGCUUGAUGUGUACUUCUCAGAAAUAUUCUAAUACCUACAGAUGCUAUAUUUAAGCAACCUUGCUUCUGCUUUGGUGAUCACAUGUCGUGCGCUGCCUAUAUUGUUGAUUUUGUUGCUAAGCCCCGCUGUGAGUUCUGGUUUCCAGUGUUUCAGGUUACAUGUUUAAACCUGGCCUUCCAACUGUUUCACACUAUCCUGUGUGUUCCCGUCUACUAAAGCUGAUACUCUGGAGGCCCUCUCUUUCCAGAAUGGUCCACAUUGGUAUGAAAAAUUGAGUAGAAAGAGGAGUUAUGAUUACAGAUUUUUUGUUUAUGAUAGUUGUUAAGUUUCCAGUUUGGUAAUGUCAUAAAAAGGAAGCCUUAGGAAGAACAUAUUGGGUGUAUGUGGUCAGCCGAUUGGCCUCUGCCACCUUUCCUAGACAAUUGUAGCCAUUAAGGAAGAAAAUCUGGAAAAUAUGAUGAACCCAGCAGACAUCAAAGCUGAGAAACCAAGACAACUAUAGAGAAAAUAAUUCUACUCAAAACUUCUUUCCUACAAGCCUUCAAUUUGAUCUUUUUCUUUAGGACAAAGAAGGAAAAAUUUGCUCUUAUGGACACCACUUUGGAGGAUUAUAUUUAGGUCCAUUGGUUUUACUACCAGAGAGCUCCCUGUAUACCUGUGAGGUCUCAAGUAACUUACAGUAUAAAGCAUCAGUGACUUCCAGUGGGACUCGGGCUAUCCCAGUUAAAUUUUGUGCAUGGUGACAUAUCAGUCACAGUGACAGGGCUUCAUUUCUGCAAGUAGAAACUCCUCUUGCACUGCGUUAUGGAAAUUAUUGCACUGUGCCAGGAAACUUUAUGUUACUCCAUCAGGCACAACUCCAUUCCUUUGACUCUCUGAAUAUUUUCUGUGCAUGGCUACAGGUAGAUUGUGUUUCUUCAGUUAAAUAACUCUGCUGUCUACAUGUCUGUCUAAAUGUCUGUCUAAAUGUUUUGAUUCAUUGUAAAAGCUUUCGGCAACAUCUUAUUACUCCUUUGAUUAGAGCAGCCACCAUUGUUUGUUAUUAUAUUUAAAGCAAAGAAAUACAAACAUCCUUACCAUCAAAAGGGCUAGGCGGGGUAGUGCUGAAUGUAGGUUGUUUUUAAUCUCUGUACAGUCUUCAUUUUGUGCUUAUCUUUCUGUGUGCCUGUUUUGCCCUCUGGUCCAGAAGAAGCUGCUGUUUUUCAGGAUGCAACAAAAAGCAUUUUCUGAAAACUUGCUUCUGGGGAGUGAAAGGCAGAGAAAAAAUCCAAGAUGAACAAAUCCAUACACCGAGGUUGACUUUACCUUUGCUUGGAUUUCCAUACACCUACACUAGUGCAUUGAUCUACAUGUCAAAAAGAGCUGGUUCAUUUCAGUUUACAGAUUUUACAUUG